Molecule: unclassified non-coding RNA, 1584 nt
Filed under: Acyrthosiphon pisum (pea aphid)
Lineage: Eukaryota; Metazoa; Arthropoda; Insecta; Hemiptera; Aphididae
Description: uncharacterized LOC100160889
Source: RNAcentral
GAGUCUGUUAUAUUUGGACGGACAUUGUCGAGCGUACCGUCGUCGCAACAGGACGCGCACUAUAUUUAAAAUACGAAUCAUUAAAUACAUCGUAUUGUAAUUAUAUAUUAUUUUAAACUGUACUCACGCAGCUAACCGAAUUCACAUCCAACAUGUUUAACUUGGGAGGAGCGAUGAAAAAUAUUUCAGCUAAGGCUGAAGAAUUAGUAGAGGAAAAGAAACAUGCUGCAACUUCACUUCUUGAAAAACAAGUCAAAGAAACCGGUGAGUUCUUAUCUAACACGCUCAACGAAGCAGAAGGCAAAGCUGUGAGCGCCGCAGAAGAGGCGAAAAAGGCAGCUGUGGACGGUUUUGACCAGGAGGUCGAGAAACUUGCUGAUAGUGCCUUACAGGAGACUUCUAAACACAAUAUUGGUGGUGGUGGUUUAUUAGGUGGAAUUAAGAAUUCAAUUGGUCAUGUUGCUAGUAAAAUGGAGAGUAAUAUCGAGGGUUCGGUACACAAAUUAGAAGGCGCAGCAAGUGCGGUGACGCAUAAAUUAGACGAUUCGGUUGUCGGUAAGGUAGCGCAUUCGGUAGGGGAUAAAGCCCACCAAGUGACUGAUAAAGUCCACGAAGCGGCCGAUGGAGUGACCCACACUGUGCAGGGAGUCAAAAGUACGAUAAAGGGAGUAGCCAGUACGGUGAAAGGAGUCUCCAGUAUGAUUCAAGGCACUACUAAUGGAAUGGAGACACCCGCCGCACCGGCACCCGCCCCUGUUGCCGCCGCCCCGGAACAACAGUCGACCGUCGGCCAGGUAGCGUCCGAGGCCAAGACGCUGGUGGACAAGACAGCCGCCGAGCUGAAACCAGCCCUUGACCAAGCGGUGCAUGACAAGAUCAACCCGUUGGCGCAGGAUCUGGCCAAGAAGCUACAGCCGAUCACAGGCGACGUGUCGGCGCAAAUCAACACGGCGCUGGCUGAUGGCGUCAAGCAGUUGAACCCGAUUGUCGACCAAGUGUCGACGACGGCCAAAGGAUUCGUCGACGAUACCGCCAAACAGGUGAGCUCGGCGGUGGACGACAAGCUCAAGGAGGCUGACCAGUUGUUCAGCGAGAAGCGCGAAGCUCUCGGGGAACCGGCCAAGAGCAUGAUGUCUAAGGCCAAGGGAUUGUUCGGCUGUAAGUUAGGUUGCUGUACUAUCAUGUAGGAAAAAAAAUUCUCACACAAAACCCGUGUACGCACAGUCUACACACACUGUUGAUGUAUAUUGCCAUGAGAUGAACACAUUGGGAAUCCACGUUCGAUAGACAUUCACAAAUAAAUUGGGGUCAUUAUUAUUAUCUAUAUAUACCUUAAAUGUUAAUUUCUUUAAAAAAAUAUUAAUUUUAUAUUAUAAUACAUUUUAGAUACGUACCUAUAUAAAUUAUACUUUUAAUUAUACUAUAACUUUUUGUUCAUUUACUUAUUAUUAUGAAGUACAUACUUUUAACUACGAAACGAAAUAAUCACUGCGCAAUUGUGAUUACUUUGUUCACAUGAAUUAAAUAAUAAAUAAUAUUAUAAUGUUACAACGACAAUAUAAUAUGCAAUACAUUAUACAUCUA